This is a long non-coding RNA of Nomascus leucogenys (northern white-cheeked gibbon), 603 nucleotides long. RefSeq lists it as uncharacterized. NCBI's taxonomy places the organism in Eukaryota, Metazoa, Chordata, Mammalia, Primates, Hylobatidae. The record is from RefSeq and is a predicted model, not a curated record. The transcript is spliced from 2 exons.
AAUAAAAGAAAAUCUGCCUUUAGGUUAACCCAAGAAUCAUCUUUGUACUUCUGCAGAAAUUAUAAAAAUAAUAAUUAUUACAAGCUGUCAGCUUCCCAGUUUGCACAAUUCAUCAAGAAAUUAUGCGGGGCCACUGGCACAAAUGAUGAGGCAUCUCCCGGAAGCUUAACUUCCUAUCCAUCCCAUCUCUUGGACAGAUGAUGCCAGUUAAUUACUUUGAAUGUAAGUAUUUUAUAUAAAAGCACUUAUGUGUCUAAACAGACUCCUACAAAUCAGUACCAAAAUGGUAAAUAAUUCCACAGAAAUACGGGCAAAAGCUUAUCAUUAUCAACAAAUGAGAAGAAAGAAACCCUAUGCCAGGUAACAUCAAAGCUUUGGCCCAGUGCCCUCUGUUGAAACAUCCUAGGCUUUUUCUUUCCACUCCUAUUACAACUGAUCUGAUUUGGCCCCUUCACACUUCACUCCUAGAUUUUGCUAGACCUUUCUAUUUUGUCUCCCUGAAUUAAGCUUUUCCUUUUGGGCACUUUACAUUGGAUUCUAAAAUAAUCCUCUGCAUGUCUACACUUGCACAUAAUGCAAAAAAAUAAAAUAAAAUAAAAUAAU